CCUUUAAUGUUUGAUGUUCUAACGUGGACCCGUAAUCCGGGUUGCGGACAGUGUCUGGUGGGUAGUUUGACUGGGGCGGUCUCCUCCUAAAGAGUAACGGAGGAGCACGAAGGUUGGCUAAUCCUGGUCGGACAUCAGGAGGUUAGUGCAAUGGCAUAAGCCAGCUUGACUGCGAGCGUGACGGCGCGAGCAGGUGCGAAAGCAGGUCAUAGUGAUCCGGUGGUUCUGAAUGGAAGGGCCAUCGCUCAACGGAUAAAAGGUACUCCGGGGAUAACAGGCUGAUACCGCCCAAGAGUUCAUAUCGACGGCGGUGUUUGGCACCUCGAUGUCGGCUCAUCACAUCCUGGGGCUGAAGUAGGUCCCAAGGGUAUGGCUGUUCGCCAUUUAAAGUGGUACGCGAGCUGGGUUUAGAACGUCGUGAGACAGUUCGGUCCCUAUCUGCCGUGGGCGCUGGAGAACUGAGGGGGGCUGCUCCUAGUACGAGAGGACCGGAGUGGACGCAUCACUGGUGUUCGGGUUGUCAUGCCAAUGGCACUGCCCGGUAGCUAAAUGCGGAAGAGAUAAGUGCUGAAAGCAUCUAAGCACGAAACUUGCCCCGAGAUGAGUUCUCCCUGAGACUUAGAGUCUCCUGAAGGAACGUUGAAGACGACGACGUUGAUAGGCCGGGUGUGUAAGCGCAGCGAUGCGUUGAGCUAACCGGUACUAAUGAACCGUGAGGCUUAACCUUACA
Molecule: ribosomal RNA, 730 nt
Filed under: Salmonella enterica subsp. enterica serovar 4,[5],12:i:-
Lineage: Bacteria; Pseudomonadati; Pseudomonadota; Gammaproteobacteria; Enterobacterales; Enterobacteriaceae
Description: partial 23S ribosomal RNA
Rfam family: Bacterial large subunit ribosomal RNA
Source: RNAcentral